AGUCAGNGGUGAAAUCUCACAGCUUAACUGUGAAACUGCCAUUGAUACUGCGGGUCUUGAGUGUUGUUGAAGUAGCUGGAAUAAGUAGUGUAGCGGUGAAAUGCAUAGAUAUUACUUAGAACACCAAUUGCGAAGGCAGGUUACUAAGCAACAACUGACGCUGAUGGACGAAAGCGUGGGGAGCGAACAGGAUUAGAUACCCUGGUAGUCCACGCCGUAAACGAUGCUAACUCGUUUUUGGGUUUUCGGAUUCAGAGACUAAGCGAAAGUGAUAAGUUAGCCACCUGGGGAGUACGUUCGCAAGAAUGAAACUCAAAGGAAUUGACGGGGGCCCGCACAAGCGGUGGAUUAUGUGGUUUAAUUCGAUGAUACGCGAGGAACCUUACCAAGGCUUAAAUGGGAAAUGACAGGCUUAGAAAUAGGCUUUUCUUCGGACAUUUUUCAAGGUGCUGCAUGGUUGUCGUCAGCUCGUGCCGUGAGGUGUUAGGUUAAGUCCUGCAACGAGCGCAACCCCUGUCACUAGUUGCCAUCAUUCAGUUGGGGACUCUAGUGAGACUGCCUACGCAAGUAGAGAGGAAGGUGGGGAUGACGUCAAAUCAUCACGGCCCUUACGCCUUGGGCCACACACGUAAUACAAUGGCCGGUACAGAGGGCAGCUACACAGCGAUGUGAUGCAAAUCUCGAAAGCCGGUCUCAGUUCGGAUUGGAGUCUGCAACUGAGUCUAGCAG
RNAcentral lists this ribosomal RNA (729 nucleotides) under Chryseobacterium sp. Its description in RNAcentral is "bacterial SSU rRNA". It matches the Rfam family "Bacterial small subunit ribosomal RNA", at positions 586 to 1324 of the family's 1533-position model. The record is from RNAcentral. Lineage: Bacteria; Pseudomonadati; Bacteroidota; Flavobacteriia; Flavobacteriales; Weeksellaceae.